RNAcentral lists this ribosomal RNA (552 nucleotides) under uncultured archaeon. RNAcentral's name for it is "bacterial SSU rRNA". It matches the Rfam family "Archaeal small subunit ribosomal RNA", at positions 326 to 878 of the family's 1478-position model. The record is from RNAcentral.
CGGGGUGCACCAGGCGCGAAAACUUUACAAUGCUGGCAACAGCGAUAAGGGGACCUCGAGUGCCAGGAUACAAUCUUGGCUGUCGCGAUGCCUAAAAAGCAUUGCAUAGCAAGGGCCGGGCAAGACCGGUGCCAGCCGCCGCGGUAACACCGGCGGCUCGAGUGGUAACCGCUAUUAUUGGGUCUAAAGGGUCUGUAGCCGGCCGGAUAAGUCUUUUGGGAAAUCCAGCUGCUCAACAGUUGGGCUUUCAGAAGAUACUGUUCGGCUCGAGACCGGGAGAGGUGAGAGGUACUUCAGGGGUAGGGGUGAAAUCUUGUAAUCCUUGAAGGACCACCAGUGGCGAAGGCGUCUCACCAGAACGGAUCUGACGGCAAGGGACGAAAGCUAGGGGCACGAACCGGAUUAGAUACCCGGGUAGUCCUAGCCGUAAACGAUACUCGCUAGGUGUCAGCCACGGUGCGACCGUGGUUGGUGCCGUAGGGAAGCCGUGAAGCGAGCCACCUGGGAAGUACGGCCGCAAGGCUGAAACUUAAAGGAAUUGGCGGGGGAGCA